Molecule: ribosomal RNA, 529 nt
Filed under: uncultured bacterium
Lineage: Bacteria
Description: partial 16S ribosomal RNA
Rfam family: Bacterial small subunit ribosomal RNA
Source: RNAcentral
UGGGGAAUUUUGGUCAAUGGGCGAGAGCCUGAACCAGCCAAAUCGCGUGAAGGAAGACUGCCUUAUGGGUUGUAAACUUCUUUUAUACAGGAAUAAAAAAGGGGACGUGUCCCUUAUUGCAUGUACUGUAUGAAUAAGCAUCGGCUAACUCCGUGCCAGCAGCCGCGGUAAUACGGAGGAUGCGAGCGUUAUCCGGAUUUAUUGGGUUUAAAGGGUGCGCAGGCGGGCUUUUAAGUCAGCGGUGAAAUCUCGGGGCUUAACUCCGAAACUGCCGUUGAAACUGGGAGUCUUGAGUAUGGAUGAAGUAGGCGGAAUUCGUUGUGUAGCGGUGACAUGCUUAGAUAUAACGAGGAACUCCGAUUGCGUAGGCAGCUUACUAAGCCAUAACUGACGCUCAAGCACGAAAGCGUGGGGAUCAAACAGGAUUANAUACCCUGGUAGUCCACGCCGUAAACGAUGAUUACUAGUUGUAUCCGAUAUACCGUNUGUGACUAAGCGAAAGCGAUAAGUAAUCCACCUGGGGGAGUAC